UUAUCCCAAGAAAAGCCUCUUGUUUUGUGUGAUUCUGUGCACUUGAAGGACUGCUCUUGGGGGCGCUGGUGCUGAUGAGCCCAUAUGCUGGCUGCAAAUGAGAAAGCCAGCAAAACAGCAGGGGAUUAGUGUUUCCACUGAUGAAUAAAAGCAAGAUCUGAAGCCGCAGGAGAUCCUGCAUCUUCAGAAAAGAAAAUAGAGAAGACAAGCCUGCUUAUUUCAAGUUCUCAGCUCAGCAGUUCACACCCAGGAGUUUUCAUGGGUGGUUCCAUGAACAAACAGAGGCCAAUGUUUCAGGAAGGUCCAUAUGCUUGAGGAAAAGGUAGAUUUUCCAAUUGAUUUUCCAAGGUCCACCAGUGUGCUCUGUCCAAAGUACAGCUGUUAUGCAACAAUGUCUGCCAGGUAUAGAACAGAGAUGAUGCCCUAGAGGCCUGUCCCUUGAUCAUAUUGAAGACAUCUUGAAAAAUAACAGGCUGGGACAUGCUUAACAUAUGAUGAACUCAACUCCCAUGAACAGUUACAGGAAAAUGUUAUUUUAGAAAGAAUUUUUUUUUCCAGUUGCUCUAAGGAGAGUUUGCUUUGAUUUACAACAUUUUUGUGAGAAGAAUGAAGACCCUGAAGACCUAAAUUUGAACUGUAGGAAGAAAUUUAAGUUAGGUGUUUUUAUAAAGGGAUAUUUCUUUUCUUUAUUCCUUCAUUCCCUUUUUCCCUUCUUUCUUUCAUUUUGCAUUUUUUUUAAAACCAGAGGAUAAUUGCUUUAUAGUGAUGUGUUCCUUCUUCCUUCUUUCCUUCCUUUCUAUCUUUUCUUUUCUUUCAGUAGAACUGAUCCUUGAAGAUUGUUGAGGCUGAGAGGGUUUUGUUGGUAGACUAGAGACACUAGAUGAACUUAGAGCACUGUUGUUGAGAAAACUAGAGUAAGGCUGAGAAUGAGUGUAUUCACAUCUAAAACAAAUAUCCACUCAUUGUUGGGGAAAAUUAUGAAGUCUGCAUACAACUAAAUUCAGAUGUACACUAAGAUAGAAAAUAUUCUGUUGUUUGGCAGAAACCAACAAAAUUCUCUAAAGCAAUUAUCCUUCAAUUAAAAAUAAAUCAAUU
Long non-coding RNA from Cervus elaphus (red deer), 1095 nucleotides. RefSeq lists it as uncharacterized. The transcript is spliced from 3 exons. Lineage: Eukaryota; Metazoa; Chordata; Mammalia; Artiodactyla; Cervidae. The record is from RefSeq and is a predicted model, not a curated record.